This 1191-nucleotide long non-coding RNA is filed under the name Marmota monax (woodchuck). The record is from RNAcentral. Lineage: Eukaryota; Metazoa; Chordata; Mammalia; Rodentia; Sciuridae.
CUGAAAGGUUUUUUUGGGUAUAUACCCAGGAGUGAAUUUCUCAGUCAUGUGAUAAUUCUAUAUUCAAGUGUUUUUUAGGAUAGCCUGUUUUCCACAGUGGCUGAUUCUUUUGUGGUUGUUGGGAAGUUAUUUUACGUCAGAUCUAGGGUGAUACUUACUCCAGAGCUACUUUCGUCUCACUUUUAAGGCAUGGCCUUUCUGAGAUUUCCACUGAGGCUGGCUUCAGUGGAAAUUGGCUUCUGUAUCCAAGAAGGUCCCUCUCCCCAUAUUCUGGUUGGAGAGUCAAAUAAUUCCUGUUACAGGAUGAGCUUUGGAAAUUGUUCAUCUUUCAGUUCUCUAGCAACUGCUUUUUCCCUUGGUAGUUGUUAUGGGGUGACCUGGUGAUGUUUUAUUUUGUGGAUGUGUAGAUUGGAAUUCAGCCAAGGACUGAAGUCGCUCUCUGUUCCUUGUCUUGAGCAGCAGAGUUCUCGGCACAGUUGGGGCGGCCCAUGAACCGCAGGAUUGGAAAGGGGAAGUGAAGGCUCGCAAGCUGUUCUCAGCGGAGCUGCCCUGCCCUGCCCUCUGCUGGCUCCCGGUGGGCGUGCCGUAGCCUGGCCCCGCGGCUCCAGCUCCCAAGCCCCGGGAAGUGUGUUCAGCUUUGCUAUCAAGGUGCCAGCGUCACUUGAAACGAUCUUCCACGCUGAAGUUGGGGCUGUGAGAGGCUGAGGUGGGUUUCAGCCUGUCAGCCAUGUCCCUUCUCAGCCUAGCAGUUUCUGUUUUUUUUUUCCUUACUCUUUCCCACUCACAUCCAUCUUUCCCACACCAAAUCCCAGAAACUCCCAUCAGGUCAACUGCUGUAAUAAAUCUCAUGCUGUGUACAUCACUCCCGUGGGGUGGGGUGUGCUUCUCUGAUUGAACGCUCAGGAUCACCAGGUGUGGCAGCAUUUUUGCACUCAUGCAUUUGUAAGGAGUCUCGCUGCAAAAUAAAUAAAUAAAAUAAAAUAAUAAAAUAAAAUAAUAAAAUAAAAUAAAAUUAUGGUUUUCUGUAGAAAUUAAGAUGCAUUUAUACUAUUCACACACCAAACAAGUAUUGCUUAGGUUCGCUAAGUAUCUAUAGCAAAUUCUCUCAGUAGUUCGAGAGUCCAUAAAUACACCUUUUUCAUUUUUCUUUUCUUUUACUGUUGUCUUAAAACUUUUAUUUUUCAAUACUGG